CGGAACGUGCCCAGUAGCGGGGGAUAACUACGCGAAAGCGUAGCUAAUACCGCAUACGUCCUACGGGAGAAAGCGGGGGACCUUCGGGCCUCGCACUAUUGGAGCGGCCGAUAUCGGAUUAGCUAGUUGGUGGGGUAAAGGCUCACCAAGGCGACGAUCCGUAGCUGGUUUGAGAGGACGACCAGCCACACUGGGACUGAGACACGGCCCAGACUCCUACGGGAGGCAGCAGUGGGGAAUUUUGGACAAUGGGGGCAACCCUGAUCCAGCCAUCCCGCGUGUGCGAUGAAGGCCUUCGGGUUGUAAAGCACUUUUGGCAGGAAAGAAACGGUUCCGGAUAAUACCUGGAGCAACUGACGGUACCUGCAGAAUAAGCACCGGCUAACUACGUGCCAGCAGCCGCGGUAAUACGUAGGGUGCAAGCGUUAAUCGGAAUUACUGGGCGUAAAGCGUGCGCAGGCGGUUCGGAAAGAAAGAUGUGAAAUCCCAGAGCUUAACUUUGGAACUGCAUUUUUAACUACCGAGCUAGAGUGUGUCAGAGGGAGGUGGAAUUCCGCGU
RNAcentral lists this ribosomal RNA (559 nucleotides) under uncultured bacterium. RNAcentral's name for it is "bacterial SSU rRNA". It matches the Rfam family "Bacterial small subunit ribosomal RNA", at positions 119 to 674 of the family's 1533-position model. The record is from RNAcentral.